UUUUUUUUUACUAUUAACUGUCUUUGUAACAGAGUAGGAAGUGUCAACAUUUUAAGUUGGGAAGGUUAGAAAAGUUAUUUUCAAUUACUUCAUAGUAUAUUUUGUGUAUCUGUGCUUUGUACCUUAACUAGGCUACUUGGGGGCUUAUUUUUUUAUUUAAAAAGGUUUUGGUCUUAUUAAUGAAGUCAUUAGUUCAUUACUUUCUACUUUUCGCUUUAAUUUUUACCUUGGAUUUAACUUCUUUAAACAGAGUAUAUCUACUCCAAAAUAAGGGCGAAUGUGCUGAGAGCAUUAAAAUCGUUUGUUUUUGGAGUAAAUGCAACGUUGUAAAAUUCUUGCAUCGGUAUCAAAUGCUCUUUGAUGAGUUAAAAUCAGGGAACAUAUGAACAUUAUGGCAGUAACUCACAUUUUAUCUGAUUUAAUCCUUAGGACAAUCGGGCUAUCUAUAUUUUAAUCUAUUUUUAUAGAUGAAAUCUAGACCUAAAGUUAAAAAUUUUCUCAAGGUCACUUGUGUUAGAGGCAGAAAUCUAAACUGCCAGUAACAGACUAUUGCACAUGAAGGCAAGUGGGUUUCAAAACAUAUGGAAAGGCCUUUUAAUGCCAAAAGGUUGGGAACUUCUAUGAGUUCUUCACCCACAGGGCAGUCAAAACACAAUUUACAAGAAGGUGAUCGAUUAUUUAGCUUCACGCAUUAUUUGUACUCAAUGGAAUCAGUGCCAAGUGACUAGUCAAAGUAAACAAGCCAUAUGUUGUCCCCCUAAAGCUGUAAGGACAGCACAGGGCACACUGGGAACGUGGGCUGCGCUUGUCUGCAUAGGAGCACUUGCUACUACAUACACUGAAUUAACCAGAGUACUUGAGAAACUUCACCCCUGCAUUCUUUUUCUGGAUUUCUAGAGAAUGGGAUAAUGGCUAUUAUCCACAUGAAAGUAAAAUUCUCCCCUUCUUUCAAGCCCCCACUCCAGAUUAAGUAUACACAGAAAACACUGCAGUUUCCAAAAUAUGUUGAUUGUUUUAAGGGAGGUGCUCCUUAGUACCAAGUGUAUGAGCUGCUGAGGUACUGCACUGUCUCGUACUCCUACAGUCACUGAGUGGAGACAUGAUAAAACACUGCAGAUAUUUAAGGCACAAAAUCAGACCUAAAUAAAGUAGAGAUGGAAUCAGAAUUCCCAGGCCCCCCUUUUUUUUUUAUUUGCAGUAAUAUCAAACCAUCCAUUUACAAAGUUUCUUGUCUCCUAUCUGCUGGAAUUAACUAGGUAUGUCUUUGGGACCAUGUAGUUGCAUCCACUUUGGUGGUUACAAGAAAGCAAGCAACCAACCAACCACUAGAACACAAGGCUAGCAUACUGCUUCCGCUGGAAUCCAGCAGGGUUACCUGAGCAUGCCACACCUGAACACUGAGUGGAGGAAAGGAGUAGAGCUGCUCUUCAUUUGUUUGCAAAGCAAAUUCAUUUGAAAGAAUGAACAAAUUGUCAUCAGUACGUCAAAUGUUUUUGUCACUUAGACCUUCAACCCAAGACACAAAGUUUUUCUUUUUCUAACACUCUACCCUGAAAUAAGUUUGCCAAUAAAACCCAAAGAUUUAAUACAAAUAGUACAAUUCAUAUUUGCUUUCCUCUUUCCUUUUUUUUAGACAAACAACAAAUAAAAUGCAGGCAAAGGAGCUGAAACAACGGGAAGCUGACUUACAAACUACACUAACUUUAAAGAAUCUAAAAGCGUUUGGGUACUACUGCUUUUCAAGUAAGACAUUUGGAGAGAAAUCGCCUAAGGACACUGAAGUCACAAGUAUGACUUGGACACUGCAAUCAAAUAAGAGGGAAGGAAAGAAAGAUGGAGACAAGAAGGAAGAGAGGUUCAUGGUGUGAUUGAAAAAAAUACUCCAGGGGGACUCUGGACCAAGAUGGUGACAUAAGAGGCUCCUGAAUUUCGCUCCUCCCAUGCAUGGAUGCACCAAAUGGAAAGCUACACAUGGAGAAAGUUCCCUCUGAGAGAAAUCCAGAAACUAGCCGACUGACUCCUAAACAUCUAGUAAGUGAAAAAAUACUGACAUCAAAACAAGUAGGAAAGGGUGAGAUACAUUCUCUCUGUAAGUCCCACCCCCAGCACAGUGCCAUACAACUGGGAGGAAACCGCCAACUCCCAGCUUCUCCCUAAAGAUUGAAGGGUUUGUACUCCAAGUUUUAAGACUCCCACCUGAGGUAUAGGCUCUGAUAGCCAACAGGGUUUGUGUUCCCGAGUCCCACAGGAUUAUAGCAAACAAAGAAGCAGUUGGGGCUCAGCACAGAGGGAGCAAGCAAAAACACCCAUUUUUCAGUUUCUCCCUGGAAGGGGUUUGACUGCAAACUUUCACAGCUACUGCCUGAGGGUCUAGCUUCUAAUCAGCUUGCAUCUAGAUGCUGACUGAAGUAUCCCCCUUUGGGACACUGAUGGGUCUUGGCACCUCCUCAACUACUGGUAGUCACUAAGAACAAAGAUGGCAGCCUGGAUAAUCACAAAGGCUUGAGAAGCAACCAGGAGCUCAGGCUGAGCUGAUUGAUGAAGUUCAUCUCUCAUACACAAGACCUAUCUGUCAAGACUGGAAGAGGUGGCUGUUUUAUUUAAUGUGCAGAAACCAGCACAGAGAGUCAAGGAAAAUGAAGAGACAAGGAGUAUGUUCCAAAUAAAAGAACCUGAUUAAUCUUCAGAAACUGACCUUAAUGAAAUGGAAUUAAGUUAUUUACAUGAGAGAGAGUUAAAAAUAAUGGUCAUAAAAACACCAAGAUCAGGGAGCAACGCAUGAACCUGUAGUGAAGACUUUAUGCCAAACACUGUAACAAGAGACAACAAAGGUCAUUAUAUGAUAAAGGGGUCAAUUUAUUAAGAGGAGAUACAUUUGUAAAUAUUUAUGCACCCAACAUUGGAGCACCUAAAUACAUAAAGCACAUAUUAACAGAUCUGAAGGCAGAAAUAGACAGCAUUACAAUAAUAGCAGGGGUCUUCAACACCCUGCUUUCAACAAUGGAUAGAUCAUCUAGACAGAAAAUCAAUAAGGAAGCAUUGGACUUAAACUACAUGUUAGACCAGAUGGACCUAACAGAUAGAUACAAAACAUUCCAUUCAACAGCAGCAGAAUAUAUACUCUUAUCAAGUACACAUGGAAUAUUCCCCAGAACUGGUCAUAUGUUAGACCACAAAACAAGUCUUAAUAAAUCUAAGAAGACUGAAAUUAAGUAUCUUUUUUGACCAUAAUUGUAUGAUAGUAGUUAUCAAUUGCAAGAAGAAAACUGGAAAAUUCACAAACAUGUGGAGAUUAAAU
Long non-coding RNA from Rhinolophus ferrumequinum (greater horseshoe bat), 3298 nucleotides. RefSeq lists it as uncharacterized. NCBI's taxonomy places the organism in Eukaryota, Metazoa, Chordata, Mammalia, Chiroptera, Rhinolophidae. The transcript is spliced from 3 exons. The record is from RefSeq and is a predicted model, not a curated record.